CCCACAUACCAAGCAAAGAUAAUUCUUCUGCCAUUUUCGACAACAGUAAUUCGUGUUCUCUCAACUUCUCGGACUUUUUAACGAUUUUAUGAUGUUAUUCAAAUGCUUGUGGCUCUAAAGUUUGGGGGUUGGAUCCCUUUAUAUAGCCCAUAUAUAUAUGCACGAUCCAAUGUCGAGGUUACCUGGGAAUGCCUUUGCACCACAAGUUAUUCUGUAAUUAAUUAAUUACGGCCUGUACAUGAUAUCGUGAUUAAGAUAUUGAAUUUCUAUUGUAUAAAUAUUAUGGUAAGAAAAAGCUGGGAGUUGGUACUUGGAGACUUUCCGAUGAUUGACCGGGGAAGAAAAGAAGCUGCCAAUGGCUGCUUUACCCGUUGAAUUAUUGGAACUCUAGAUUCGAAAUAGUCGGGAAUCCCAAUUCCCAUACAUACUAAAUAGUUGGAUAUAGGUGGGACGAUGGACUCAUAUGAUCAAAAUACGUCAUUGAUGAUCUUUUAUCUCAAGAUUAUGAGCUGAAAGCUGAUGUCAGCCAUGAACAUGCUAAGACCAGUGAGCGUUUGCUAUUCAACAGAGACAGCAAAAUAAAAUAUUACAAAAAAAGUGGAAUUGGUACGAAAUGCUAGUUCAAGGGACCCCAAUUCGCGUGUCCGGCAAUUUAGAAUCUGCCUGCGAUUCUAACCCGCUUCAGACGAAUUCUCUUCUGGGAAAUGGGUGGGGUCAACUAUUUGGCGCCAAAUCUCUUCCUUCGCCCCUUUUUUCUUUUUUUGGUAUUAUAUUAGCUGGUUUGGGACGGAUGUUGUGUCUCCCACUCUUACCUCUUGUAUUUUAUUACUGUUUUAUAUAUCUAUAAUAUGUUUGAUUAGAAAAAAAAAAAUCUGCCUUUGAUAUACAUGAUAUGGCUUUGAUCUCACAUUACAAUAUAUAUGUUGUCAAGACUCACAAUAAUAUAUACAUAUAUAAAUAUAUAUAUAUAUGUUGUUCACAUCUAGGGCUGAACAAAAAGUUCGAAAUACCGAUCCGACCCGAAAAUCCACUUUUACCCGAUUUGGAAAAUUGACCCGUUUACGUUAAAAUCGGAAACGGGUAUUACCCAUUACCCGAUUUUAACCCAUUACGAUUCUUAGGCUUUCAGCCCCGUGUGGUUCCCUAGAGAGAGGCGAUUCUCUUCCUUGACGGGGACGUGUCCUGGAGGCGAAGCCGCGGAAGAGGGCCCAAGAAGAUUCCUCGACGGGGUACGACAUCGAUUCCAGGAGGCAGAAGCAGGCUGGAGAAGAUGCCGUGACGGAGGAGGAGGGUUUGUUCCCAAGAAAUUCCAACUAAUGUCGUAGUUGUGGUCGGUGAUGCAAAUUUCUCUUUGCAUAAGGUCUGAAAGCAGCCAAGUUUUGUUACGGUGUCAACUUCGAGAUCACAGUCCAGAAUGUGGCAGCUCUUCGUUGCGUGGCUGAGUACCUCCAAAUGACUGAUAAAUACUCCGACGGCAACCUCACUGGCCGCACUGAAGAUUUCCUCACACAGGUCGCCCUGUCCAGCCUCUCCGGUGCCAUUGUUGUCCUUAAAUCUUGCAAGACCUUCUCCCUAAUCUAAUGCCAAUUAAUCUCGAAGGGGAGGGGCACGAGGAAGUUAAUGGCGUACAAGGAGAAGAACAACGCAAGAGGAAGGAGGACGGCAUCAAUGGCUGAACAAAAAGCCCGAAUUGGUGAUUGUGAUUUGGAAUCGGGUAAUCAGUUAACGGGUAAUCGGUAUGAAUCUUUUUCGGUUCGGGUUGGAAUUUGAAUUUUCGGAUUGGAUCGGGUCGGCGUACAUCCCUAUUCACAUCCCCUGCCUAGAAACUUGUACUAUUUUGUUUGUAAGAAGAGAGAUUAUAAUUCAAUUGUCUUUCUAAAGUUUCCUUGUGGUACGUACGCACUUAAUGAGUCUUCAUUGAAAAUUCGAAAGAUGUUAGUCAAAGAUUAAAAAAAACCAUUUUAUAAUGUAAACAAUUAUUUUCUAUGUAUUACACGUUAAAGCAUUCUCCAUU
This is a long non-coding RNA of Carya illinoinensis, 2014 nucleotides long. RefSeq lists it as uncharacterized. The transcript is spliced from 2 exons. The record is from RefSeq and is a predicted model, not a curated record. Lineage: Eukaryota; Viridiplantae; Streptophyta; Magnoliopsida; Fagales; Juglandaceae.